RNAcentral lists this transfer RNA (64 nucleotides) under Heloderma horridum (Mexican beaded lizard). RNAcentral's name for it is "tRNA-Cys". The record is from RNAcentral. Lineage: Eukaryota; Metazoa; Chordata; Lepidosauria; Squamata; Helodermatidae.
AGUUUUGUAGUAGAAUUACAUCAAGUUGCAAACUUGAGAAAGGGAUAUAGAUUCCCCGGAACUU